GACGGAGGGAGCAAGCGUUGUUCGGAUUUACUGGGCGUAAAGGGCGUCUAGGCUGAUUUGAAAGUCAGAUGUGAAACCCCCCGGCUCAACCGGGGAACUGCAUUUGAUACUGCAAGUCUUGAGUACGGAAGAGGAGAGCGGAAUUCCUGGUGUAGCGGUGAAAUGCGUAGAUAUCAGGAAGAACACCGGUGGCGAAGGCGGCUCUCUGGUCCGAUACUGACGCUGAAGCGCGAAAGUGCGGGGAGCGAACAGGAUUAGAUACCCUGGUAGUCCGCACUGUAAACGAUGGAUACUAGGUGUCAGGGGUACCGACCUCUCUGGUGCCGAAGCAAACGCAUUAAGUAUCCCGCCUGGGGAGUACGGUCGCAAGGCUGAA
This 376-nucleotide ribosomal RNA is filed under the name uncultured bacterium. RNAcentral's name for it is "bacterial SSU rRNA". It matches the Rfam family "Bacterial small subunit ribosomal RNA", at positions 524 to 898 of the family's 1533-position model. The record is from RNAcentral.